Molecule: long non-coding RNA, 1102 nt
Organism: Bombus pyrosoma
Lineage: Eukaryota; Metazoa; Arthropoda; Insecta; Hymenoptera; Apidae
Exons: 3
Source: RefSeq, a predicted model, not a curated record
GUUCAGGCAUGGCUUUGCCGCGCAUUCGUCUAUAUCGAUCUCGCACUGGGUGCCAGUGAAACCUGAAACAACGGCAAACGAAAUUAUUCUCCCGAUAUGAGCUAAAUUAGAUAUAAUACCUCUGUAUAAGGUUCGGGAGGAAUUUGUCCAGUGCUUAUCGCUUUCAUCUUUGAGUAUAAUUGUAAGUAAUAUACAUCCGCAUAUACGUGUACAUCUGACGACGAAGCCAUUUUCGUAUGGAGCGCGACUCGCGAAAUUACGAAUAUCGUGGAGCAUUACCUUCGAUACAUCCUCGAUUAGACGCGGCAAUCGAGGCAAGGGGCACCGAACCCGGAUCAACCAGAUAAACGUCCACCGCUAAUUGCGUCUCUUUACGCUUUUUUCCUCUCGCUGAUUCUUAUCCGUCGUCUAACGCCGACGAUGUCUAUAAUCGUGUCAAUUAUCGACAGUAAUAACAACUGACCGACGAUUAACAAGUUUCAACAACGAAUAACUCGGCCAUCUCAUUCGAUUUUCUUCAGCUUUAACGUCAACUUAGCUUUAACGCUGCUGCAUCGAAUGUACUCUUUUGCGUUCCAACGUAAUUGAAUAGAAGUAUUUAAACCAACCGAUUGGGAUGAAAUGUCGGGCGAAAAGAUAUGACGACGCUAAAGUACAAGCAGCAAAAUGCAAAAGACGCGAUCCAAAUGGUCCGGCCGCUUAAUUGGCGCAGAAUUCAUUUAGAAGAAUAAGCCAGGGAAUUGAGCAACGAAUCGUAAGCGCGACUAUCGAGAAAUUCUUUGGCCGUAUACGGCUGACUAGCGAUGACUCCUCUCAAUGGGAGAAAGUUAUCGUUCGAGAUGCUUGGCCUUCCGCGUUACAAGGAUUCGAUCGAACGGAGCGCAAAUGCUGCGUCAGGCAAAACUGAUCGGAAUCGCCGCUGCGAACGAAUCUAUUUUUUUUAGUAGCUUUAGAAAGCUACUUGACGUUCUACGCAACGUUUUCAGUUUAUUGAAAAACAAAAGGAUAUACAAAUUUGCCACUGUCCGACGAAUGGUCGUUAAAGAUUAGCAGGAAUAUUUCUGAAAUAGGCGUCUAAUCCAUAGUUGGAUGUAAAUUUAUC